UUUACGGAUACUGCGGUAAUUCUGGAGCCAUACGUGCUAAAAGCCGCAUUCAGCAAUGAGUGUGGUGCACUUAUCGGAGCAAAACCUUUCCUGGUUUUAUGCUAACUCUGGAUAACACUGCUUAUCGCAAGACCUUGUGUCGGCGAAAUUACAUUCAAGUAUCUGCCUUAUCAACUUUCGAUGGUAGUGUAUUGGACUGCCAUGGUGUUGACGGGUAACGGAGAAUCAGGGUUCGACUCCGGAGAGGGAGCCUUAGAAACGGCUACCAUGUCUAAGGACAGCAGCAGGCGCGCAACUUAUCCACUGUUCAUUGAACGAGAUAGUGACGAGAAAUAACAAGCCCGUUCUCUUUGAGGUCGGGCAUUGGAAUGGAUGGAAUCUAAACAGUUCCAUGAGUACCAACGAGAGGGCAAGUCUGGUGCCAGCAGCCGCGGUAAUUCCAGCUCUCGUAAUGUAUAGAAUUAUUGUUGCGGUUAAAAAGUUCGUAGUUGGAUUUUUGACUGCUUGGAGGUCGGCUUUAACGAGACGUACUUUCAGCAGUGUUUGCAGUCUGCUUGUAGGCAACUAUAAGUUGACUGUGGAUUACUUUGAACGGCUUAAGUGCUCAAGGCGAGUCUUCGGACUGAAUACCGGUGCAUGGAAUAAUGGAACAAGGUUUCGGCCGAGUUUUAUUGGUUUUGUCGGCUAAAACAAUGGUUAACAGGAACAGCUGGGGGCACUCGUAUCGCUGCGCGAGAGGUGAAAUUCG
RNAcentral lists this ribosomal RNA (748 nucleotides) under Nematoda environmental sample. RNAcentral describes it as "bacterial SSU rRNA". It matches the Rfam family "Eukaryotic small subunit ribosomal RNA", at positions 136 to 920 of the family's 1831-position model. The record is from RNAcentral. Lineage: Eukaryota; Metazoa; Nematoda.